CCUACGGGGGGCAGCAGUGGGGAAUAUUGGACAAUGGGCGAAAGCCUGUUCCAGCCAUGCCGCGUGUGUGAAGAAGGCCUUCGGGUUGUAAAGCACUUUCAGUGGGGAAGAAAGCCUUGGGGCUAAUACCCUCGAGGAAGGACAUCACCCACAGAAGAAGCACCGGCUAACUCCGUGCCAGCAGCCGCGGUAAUACGGAGGGUGCGAGCGUUAAUCGGAAUUACUGGGCGUAAAGCGCGCGUAGGCGGUCUGAUAAGCCGGUUGUGAAAGCCCCGGGCUCAACCUGGGAACGGCAUCCGGAACUGUCAGGCUAGAGUGCAGGAGAGGAAGGUAGAAUUCCCGGUGUAGCGGUGAAAUGCGUAGAGAUCGGGAGGAAUACCAGUGGCGAAGGCGGCCUUCUGGACUGACACUGACGCUGAGGUGCGAAAGCGUGGGUAGCAAACAGGAUUAGAUACCCGUGUAGUC
RNAcentral lists this ribosomal RNA (465 nucleotides) under Vreelandella stevensii. RNAcentral's name for it is "partial 16S ribosomal RNA". It matches the Rfam family "Bacterial small subunit ribosomal RNA", at positions 338 to 795 of the family's 1533-position model. The record is from RNAcentral. Lineage: Bacteria; Pseudomonadati; Pseudomonadota; Gammaproteobacteria; Oceanospirillales; Halomonadaceae.